This 253-nucleotide ribosomal RNA is filed under the name uncultured bacterium. RNAcentral's name for it is "partial 16S ribosomal RNA". It matches the Rfam family "Bacterial small subunit ribosomal RNA", at positions 524 to 776 of the family's 1533-position model. The record is from RNAcentral.
UACGAAGGGGGCUAGCGUUGCUCGGAAUUACUGGGCGUAAAGCGCGCGCAGGCGGUCCUUUAAGUCGGGGGUGAAAGCCCAGAGCUCAACUCUGGAACUGCCUUCGAAACUAGAGGACUUGGGUACGGGAGAGGUGAGUGGAAUUCCGAGUGUAGAGGUGAAAUUCGUAGAUAUUCGGAAGAACACCAGUGGCGAAGGCGGCUCACUGGCCCGUUACCGACGCUCAGGCGCGACAGCGUGGGGAGCAAACAGG